Molecule: long non-coding RNA, 1044 nt
Filed under: Equus caballus (horse)
Lineage: Eukaryota; Metazoa; Chordata; Mammalia; Perissodactyla; Equidae
Description: lncRNA (ENSECAG00000057073.1)
Source: RNAcentral
GCUCAAUCUCCUUAUUUUCUCCAACAACUUCUCAAAUGCAGUUUGCUAUCAUACCAUCUAUUUUUUCCUGGAGCAUCAUCUCCUGAGCCUUUAAUCUUUCUGUUCUAUGGGCUGUUUACUGUCUAGGUCUGCUACACAGCUGUUGUCCCGAGACUUUCCCUCACCACUAGCCUGGGAAUUCCCUUCCCCUCUCUCUUGUGUUGGAUACUGUCCUCCUCGGACUUCGUACUUCCUCUUUUCUUGUUUGGUGGAACAUAUUGCCUGAUAGCUUCUUGGGACAUAAUACAUUGGAGUAUCUGUCUGAGGAUUGAUGUAAACAGUGAAGGGUGGACAAUUAAAUAGCCGAUGAUGCUGGCUCCUACGUUAAAGACAAUUUGGUAGACGUGGCACUACUUUACUUCCAAGAUGUGUCAGAGGGCCAAGCAGCUUCCACCUGUUUCUCUUGGGAUGAUCGCUCUGGAGGAAGACAGCUGCCGUGCUGGAGAGACUAUUGGAGACACUCCAUGCUAGCCCAGCUCCCAGCCGACAGCCGGCACCAGCUGCCAGCCUGUGAGGCAGCCAUCGUGGACAGUCAGCCUGAUCGUCUCACAGGACUGAAGCCCCAGCUGACAACUGAAUUCAACCAAGCUAAAGACCCCAAGCAAGAACUGCUCAUUUGAGAUCUUCUCCAAGUUCUGACCCACAAAAUCACAAGUAAAUUAAAUUGGUGGUUUUAAGCUGCUAAUAUUAGGGAUAAUUCGUUAUGUAGAAAUAGUAACCCAAACAUUGAUCGAGAACAAAAAGAGAAAAUAUCAAUUUUCAAUAUCAGCAUUGAAGGAGAGGACCCACUACAGAUAUUACAUGCCUUAAAAAGGAAAAUAAAGCAACAUUAAGAACAACUUCAUGGGGCCGGCCUGGUGGCACAGCCAUUAAGUGCACAUGAUCCACUUGGGUGGCCUGAGGUUCGCCAGUUCGGAUCCCAGGUGUGGACACAGCACCACUCAGCAAGCCAUGCUGUAGCAGGCGUCCCCCAUAUAAAGUAGAGGAAGAUGGGCAUGGAUGUUA